GCCUGAAGGGAGCUAUUAUCCCCUUAAAGACAGAGCUUCAGAAGAUUGUCUUUCACUUAAUGACAACAGCAUUUUUUUUCAUUUUUUGCUAUUUGUGUUCAACUGCAAUUUGCAUUUUACUAAUUUAUUGCACCGACACAUAUUAUAUAUUGUUUUUAUAGGAUAGAAAGGGCUUUAAUUUGAUGUAAGACAUAUUAUAAUAUAAUAUUAACCCCUAGUUAGCCUAACACCAAAUCCCCCAAUUCCCCACUAACUUCCACACACCCCAGCUAGCUAAACAUAU
Non-coding RNA from Pelobates cultripes (western spadefoot toad), 283 nucleotides. The record is from the annotation of a GenBank genome assembly. Lineage: Eukaryota; Metazoa; Chordata; Amphibia; Anura; Pelobatidae.